Molecule: long non-coding RNA, 849 nt
Organism: Ceratina calcarata
Lineage: Eukaryota; Metazoa; Arthropoda; Insecta; Hymenoptera; Apidae
Exons: 3
Source: RefSeq, a predicted model, not a curated record
UCCCGAACGCAAGAUCAAUCCUCUCCAUUCGACGGCUGGCUCAGUCGCUUUUAAUCAACCGAACAACCAAAGUCAACAGGUGAACGAGUGAAUGCGCGAGUUAGUUUAUAAGUGCCCGUAAUUUCACCGCUCGUGUCAUGUACGAGCAUCUCUCUUAGAAUAGAAGUGCUAUUUCGUAAAUUGAACUUAAUUCUUCAGUCACUUUUUCUCCACUUAUCCAAUGCAGGUAAUACAAGAGUUCCUUCAGUUAUCGUUUGUCAAUAGAAUUGCAACAAAGAAGAAAUGACAUCGCUUGUGAAAGACAAGUUAUUUCUUCGAGCGGUAAUCACCGUCCAUAAAACUGGCCCGCCGUACACCGCACUCCCGAGAUAAAAAUUUUACGGAUUUCUUGGUGGCAGAAAACGUUUGUCUGAGCGGGUUGGACCGGGUGGGCGUCAGGUACAUAUUAAGGAACAGCCAGGAACCAUCCGAAGAAGUCGACCCGCGGCGAAGCUCCCUUCUGCGGUUUUCAAACCGACCACCAGACAAUUCGGAUCUACAUAGGCGUGAAUGUCCUACACGUGGAUACAUGUGUAGUAGGGCGAACAGACAUAGGAAGAAUGAACUACGCAAUGCGGGCUUGCUUCUAAAAAUCUUACUACUACUAUAAUACUACGAGGCUAGUCAGUAGUUACAUAAUGUACGGCAAAAAAGGAUAUCCUCCUAUCAAAAUUACGAGGUACCAAAAAUCUCUUUUUGAGUUACUCGCUUGUCGACCAUCAUUGCCUGCAUGUGGGACGAAAUGAAAGAAUUGUAGUGAUUUGUAAAACCAUAAUUAUUUCAGUUCUAUGCUGGUAAUAAAUACUAAUA